RNAcentral lists this ribosomal RNA (508 nucleotides) under uncultured bacterium. RNAcentral describes it as "bacterial SSU rRNA". It matches the Rfam family "Archaeal small subunit ribosomal RNA", at positions 726 to 1230 of the family's 1478-position model. The record is from RNAcentral.
AGUAAAUAGAUACCCGGGUAGUCCCAGCUGUAAACGAUGCGCGUUAGGUGUAUCGGUGACCACGAGUCAUCGAGGUGCCGAAAGGGAAACCGUGAAACGUGCCGCCUGGGAAGUACGGUCGCAAGGCUGAAACUUAAAGAAAUUGGCGGGGGAGCACCACAACGGGUGGAGCCUGCGGUGUAAAUUGGACUCAACGCCGGGCAGCUCACCGGAUAAGACAGCUGGAUGAUAGCCGGGCUGAAGACUCUGCUUGACUAGCUGAGAGGAGGUGCAUGGCCGUCGUCAGUUCGUACUGUGAAGCAUCCUGUUAAGUCAGGCAACGAGCGAGACCCACGCCAACAGUUGCCAGCAUGUCCUCCGGGAUGAUGGGGACACUGUUGGGACCGCCUCUGCUAAAGAGGAGGAAGGAAUGGGCAACGGUAGGUCAGCAUGCCCCGAAUUAUCCGGGCUACACGCGGGCUACAAUGGUCAGGACAAUGGUAUCGACACCGAGAGGUGGAGGCAAUCU